This 253-nucleotide ribosomal RNA is filed under the name uncultured bacterium. RNAcentral describes it as "partial 16S ribosomal RNA". It matches the Rfam family "Bacterial small subunit ribosomal RNA", at positions 524 to 776 of the family's 1533-position model. The record is from RNAcentral.
UACGUAGGGGGCGAGCGUUGUCCGGAAUUAUUGGGCGUAAAGAGCUCGUAGGCGGUUUGUCACGUCGGAUGUGAAACCCCGGGGCUUAACUCCGGGCCUGCAUUCGAUACGGGCUGACUAGAGUUCGGCAGGGGAGACUGGAAUUCCUGGUGUAGCGGUGAAAUGCGCAGAUAUCAGGAGGAACACCGGUGGCGAAGGCGGGUCUCUGGGCCGAUACUGACGCUGAGGAGCGAAAGCGUGGGGAGCGAACAGG